Molecule: unclassified non-coding RNA, 684 nt
Filed under: Hevea brasiliensis (rubber tree)
Lineage: Eukaryota; Viridiplantae; Streptophyta; Magnoliopsida; Malpighiales; Euphorbiaceae
Source: RNAcentral
GCCCUUCUUAGUCAUGAUAGUGAAGAAUGUGAAGAAGUACUUCACAUUCGAAAUUCAGGUUUUAGAUGAUAAAAAUGUCCGGAGAAGAUUUCGAGCUUCUAAUUAUCAAGCGGUAACCCGAGUGAAACCCUAUAUUUGCACUAUGCCCUUGAAAUUGGAUGAAGGAUGGAAUCAAAUCCAGCUGAACCUUUCUGAUUUGACCAGGCGAGCUUAUGGAACCAACUAUGUUGAAACUCUUCGAGUUCAGGUUCAUGCAAAUUGCAGGCUAAGGAGGAUAUACUUUUCUGACCGUCUGUAUUCAGAGGAGGAACUCCCACCAGAAUUCAAACUUUACCUUCCAAUGCAGAAAUCUUGAAGAUCUUCUCUUAAAACCAGCAGACGAGGCGCUUUGGUUGUCGACAUUCGCCUGCAGACUGGUAUAUCAAUCUUGGAGUGAAACAUUUUCAUCUUUUGGAAAUGUUGAUUACCCUUGAGUGGGUAGCACCUGGAGUUUAUGUUUCUAGAGUAGUUUAUUAAAGAGUACUUGUACGAUAUCUCAAUUAUUUGUCUUUCACAUAACGUUUGAAGUUAGGUAUAACGUACACAUGGGUAACAUGAUGAGUGUCAUAAUUGUCUUUUUAUAUAAACUGAAGUAUAUGUUGGAAGUGACGAUACAUGAAUAGACUUCUAUCGUCUCUCAAAUAA